RNAcentral lists this transfer RNA (84 nucleotides) under Libocedrus chevalieri. Its description in RNAcentral is "tRNA-Tyr". It matches the Rfam family "tRNA". Rfam says of the family: Transfer RNA (tRNA) molecules are approximately 80 nucleotides in length. Their secondary structure includes four short double-helical elements and three loops (D, anti-codon, and T loops). Lineage: Eukaryota; Viridiplantae; Streptophyta; Pinopsida; Cupressales; Cupressaceae. The record is from RNAcentral.
GGGUCGAUGCCCGAGUGGCUAAUGGGGACGGACUGUAAAUUCGUUGGCAAUAUGCUUACGCUGGUUCAAAUCCAGCUCGGCCCA